This 1540-nucleotide ribosomal RNA is filed under the name Candidatus Thioglobus sp. Its description in RNAcentral is "bacterial SSU rRNA". It matches the Rfam family "Bacterial small subunit ribosomal RNA". Lineage: Bacteria; Pseudomonadati; Pseudomonadota; Gammaproteobacteria; Pseudothioglobaceae (SeqCode). The record is from RNAcentral.
GAACUGAAGAGUUUGAUCCUGGCUCAGAUUGAACGCUGGCGGUAUGCUUAACACAUGCAAGUCGAACGGAAACGAAACUAGCUUGCUAGUAGGCGUCGAGUGGCGGACGGGUGAGUAACGCGUAGGAAUCUGCCUGAUAGUGGGGGAUAGCCCGAAGAAAUUCGGAUUAAUACCGCAUAAUCUAUUCGUAGUAAAGUGGGGGACUUUCGAGCCUCACGCUAUCAGAUGAGCCUGCGUAAGAUUAGCUUGUUGGUAGGGUAAAAGCCUACCAAGGCAACGAUCUUUAGCUGGUCUGAGAGGAUGAUCAGCCACAUCGGGACUGAGACACGGCCCGAACUCCUACGGGAGGCAGCAGUGGGGAAUAUUGGACAAUGGGGGCAACCCUGAUCCAGCAAUACCGCGUGUGUGAAGAAGGCCUGAGGGUUGUAAAGCACUUUCAAUUGUGAAGAAAAGUUAGCGGUUAAUAACCGUUAACCUUGACGUUAACUUUAGAAGAAGCACCGGCUAACUCCGUGCCAGCAGCCGCGGUAAUACGGAGGGUGCAAGCGUUAAUCGGAAUUACUGGGCGUAAAGCGUGCGUAGGCGGUUUAUUAAGUCAGAUGUGAAAGCCCCGGGCUUAACCUGGGAACUGCAUUUGAAACUGGUCAACUAGAGUAUGGUAGAGGGAAGUGGAAUUUCUGGUGUAGCGGUGAAAUGCGUAGAUAUCAGAAGGAACAUCAAUGGCGAAGGCAGCUUUCUGGACCAAUACUGACGCUGAGGUACGAAAGCGUGGGUAGCAAACAGGAUUAGAUACCCUGGUAGUCCACGCCGUAAACGAUGAUAACUAGCCGUUGGGGGGAUUUACCCCUUAGUGGCGAAGCUAACGCGUUAAGUUAUCCGCCUGGGGAGUACGGCCGCAAGGCUAAAACUCAAAGGAAUUGACGGGGACCCGCACAAGCGGUGGAGCAUGUGGUUUAAUUCGAUGCAACGCGAAGAACCUUACCUGGUCUUGACAUCCUGCGAACUUUCUAGAAAUAGAUUGGUGCCUUCGGGAACGCAGUGACAGGUGCUGCAUGGCUGUCGUCAGCUCGUGUCGUGAGAUGUUGGGUUAAGUCCCGUAACGAGCGCAACCCCUAUCCUUAUUUGCCAGCACAUUAUGGUGGGAACUAUAAGGAGACUGCCGGUGAUAAACCGGAGGAAGGCGGGGACGACGUCAAGUCAUCAUGGCCCUUACGACCAGGGCUACACACGUGCUACAAUGGGAAGGACAAAGAGCUGCGAAGCCGCGAGGUGUAGCUAAUCUCAUAAAUCUUCUCGUAGUCCGGAUUGGAGUCUGCAACUCGACUCCAUGAAGUCGGAAUCGCUAGUAAUCGUAGAUCAGAAUGCUACGGUGAAUACGUUCCCGGGUCUUGUACACACCGCCCGUCAUACCAUGGGAGUGGGUUGCACCAGAAGUGGCUAGUCUAACUUUGUGAGGACGGUCACCACGGUGUGAUUCAUGACUGGGGUAAAGUCGUAACAAGGUAGCCCUACCGGAAGGUGGGGCUGGAUCACCUCCUUA